This 473-nucleotide ribosomal RNA is filed under the name uncultured bacterium. Its description in RNAcentral is "bacterial SSU rRNA". It matches the Rfam family "Bacterial small subunit ribosomal RNA", at positions 30 to 500 of the family's 1533-position model. The record is from RNAcentral.
AUUGAACGCUGGCGGCAUGCCUUACACAUGCAAGUCGAACGGCAGCACGGGAGCAAUCCUGGUGGCGAGUGGCGAACGGGUGAGUAAUAUAUCGGAACGUGCCCAGUCGUGGGGAUAACGUAGCGAAAGCUACGCUAAUACCGCAUACGAUCUAUGGAUGAAGCGGGGGAUCGCAAGACCUCGCGCGAUUGGAGCGGCCGAUAUCAGAUUAGGUAGUUGGUGAGGUAAAGGCUCACCAAGCCAACGAUCUGUAGCUGGUCUGAGAGGACGACCAGCCACACUGGAACUGAGACACGGUCCAGACUCCUACGGGAGGCAGCAGUGGGGAAUUUUGGACAAUGGACGCAAGUCUGAUCCAGCCAUUCCGCGUGCAGGAUGAAGGCCCUCGGUUGUAAACUGCUUUUGUACGGAACGAAAGGUUUGUCUUAAUACGAUGAGCUCAUGACGGUACCGUAAGAAUAAGCACCGGCUAA